This 1348-nucleotide long non-coding RNA is filed under the name Homo sapiens (human). RNAcentral describes it as "uncharacterized LOC105375387, transcript variant 11 (LOC105375387)". The record is from RNAcentral. Lineage: Eukaryota; Metazoa; Chordata; Mammalia; Primates; Hominidae.
UGUAUUCUGCUAUGUCUACUGGGAGAAUACACUAGUGGGGAUAGUUCUGUGUAUACAGUGAUUAAGCACAUAGGUUCUGGAGCCAGUCUGUUUCUUUCAAAAUCACCUCAUUGCUUUUGAAGAAUCAGGGAAACCCCCAUGAGACUACAGGUGUGAAGCAAGAUAGAAGCAUCAGUGCAAAAGAGUACUGCAUUUCCAAAUAAAGCCACUCACAAUCUUUAAUCAGGCUGUAAAUUUUAAGAAAUCUGGACCAAGACAGUUUGCUCCAAGAGUAUCCCACAAAUGCAGAUCUUCAGAGUGAGAUUUUAUUAUUGGAUUGCUCACCUGUCUGUUGUUCCUCUAAUCUGAUGGGACACUCCCGCAAUGAUGCUUCAGCUGUAUUUUAACCUCAAGAAACCCUAAGAUCCCUCACUCCUAUGCUGCUGUCAACGGGAGGCUAAGAAGCACAGAGAAAUAGGCCAUACAAAGUCUACCUCUCUGAACACUCUGAUUCUCUUACUGAGAUACCUUGGAACAUGGUUUGAAUAAUAUUGCUCUAACUUCUUUCAUGUCAGGAAGCUCUGAGAUACUUCCUUUUCUUACUUAAUAAGAAUAGACCUUGGAGGUCUGGACCUGGACAUGAACGUACACUUUUCUAAAGAAGAUAUACACAUGGCCAACAAGCAUGUGAAAAAAAGCUCAAUAUCACUGAUCAUUAGAGAAAUGCAAAUGAAAAUCACAAUGAGAGACCAUCUCACACCAGUCAGAAUGGCUAUUAUUAAAAACUCAAAAAAUAACAGAUGCUGGCGAGGUUGCAGAGAAAAGGGAACACUUAUACACUGUUGGUGGGAGUGUAAAUUAGUUCAACUAUUGUGUAAAGCAAUAUGUCAAUUCCUCAAAGAGCUAAAAAAGAACUACCAUUGGACUCAGCAAUCCCAUUACUGGGUAUAUACUCAGAGGAAUAUAAGUCACUCUACUAUAAACACACACGCAUGCAAAUUUUCAUUGUAGCACUAUUUACAAUAGCAAAGACAUGGAAUCAACCUAAAUGCUCAUCAAUGACAGAUCGGAUAAAGAAAAUAUGCAUCUUCAACCUUUCUGGACUACAGCACCUGCCAACUGACCCCCACAUCAUGGCUCCAACGCUGGCUUCAUCACAUAUCUUCUCUCUCAGUCCCUUUGGCUCUCAGGGUGCAAUAGCUUAACAAAAUUGCUGAUCUAGGUGCCUCAGCAUUGUUUCUUUGUCAUAGUCUCUGUAUUAUCUUAUUUUGAGCCAUUCUUUUCCUGCAAAGAUCCUAACUGAAUGAGAUAACUACUUCAUAAGCUAUUUGUAAGGUUUAAAUAAAUUAAUGCAUAUUUAAUACAUGAA